Molecule: ribosomal RNA, 120 nt
Organism: Danio rerio (zebrafish)
Lineage: Eukaryota; Metazoa; Chordata; Actinopteri; Cypriniformes; Danionidae
Source: Ensembl
UGCCACAGCCAUAUCACCCUGCUGCCCAAGACCUGUUCCUCACUGAAUCUAAGCAGGACUGAGCCUGGUUAGUAGUACAUGAAUGGGAGACCACAUGGGAAAACUAUGUUGCUUUUGGAA